RNAcentral lists this ribosomal RNA (201 nucleotides) under uncultured Kosmotoga sp. Its description in RNAcentral is "partial 16S ribosomal RNA". It matches the Rfam family "Bacterial small subunit ribosomal RNA", at positions 333 to 526 of the family's 1533-position model. Lineage: Bacteria; Thermotogati; Thermotogota; Thermotogae; Kosmotogales; Kosmotogaceae. The record is from RNAcentral.
UUACUCCUACGGGAGGCAGCAGUGGGGAAUUUUGGACAAUGGGGGCAACCCUGAUCCAGCCAUGCCGCGUGAGUGAAGAAGGCCUUCGGGUUGUAAAGCUCUUUCGGCCGGGAAGAAAUCGCAUUCUCUAACAUAGGAUGUGGAUGACGGUACCGGACUAAGAAGCACCGGCUAACUACGUGCCAGCAGCCGCGGUAAUAA